This 1346-nucleotide ribosomal RNA is filed under the name uncultured bacterium. RNAcentral's name for it is "partial 16S ribosomal RNA". It matches the Rfam family "Bacterial small subunit ribosomal RNA", at positions 28 to 1381 of the family's 1533-position model. The record is from RNAcentral.
GACGAACUUUGGCGGCGUGCUUAACACAUGCAAGUCGAACGGAAAGGCCCUGCUUUUGUGGGGUGCUCGAGUGGCGAACGGGUGAGUAACACGUGAGUAACCUGCCCUUGACUUUGGGAUAACUUCAGGAAACUGGGGCUAAUACCGGAUAGGAGCUCCUGCUGCAUGGUGGGGGUUGGAAAGUUUCGGCGGUUGGGGAUGGACUCGCGGCUUAUCAGCUUGUUGGUGGGGUAGUGGCUUACCAAGGCUUUGACGGGUAGCCGGCCUGAGAGGGUGACCGGCCACAUUGGGACUGAGAUACGGCCCAGACUCCUACGGGAGGCAGCAGUGGGGAAUAUUGCACAAUGGGCGGAAGCCUGAUGCAGCAACGCCGCGUGCGGGAUGACGGCCUUCGGGUUGUAAACCGCUUUCGCCUGUGACGAAGCGUGAGUGACGGUAAUGGGUAAAGAAGCACCGGCUAACUACGUGCCAGCAGCCGCGGUGAUACGUAGGGUGCGAGCGUUGUCCGGAUUUAUUGGGCGUAAAGGGCUCGUAGGUGGUUGAUCGCGUCGGAAGUGUAAUCUUGGGGCUUAACCCUGAGCGUGCUUUCGAUACGGGUUGACUUGAGGAAGGUAGGGGAGAAUGGAAUUCCUGGUGGAGCGGUGGAAUGCGCAGAUAUCAGGAGGAACACCAGUGGCGAAGGCGGUUCUCUGGGCCUUUCCUGACGCUGAGGAGCGAAAGCGUGGGGAGCGAACAGGCUUAGAUACCCUGGUAGUCCACGCUGUAAACGGUGGGUACUAGGUGUGGGGUCCAUUCCACGGGUUCCGUGCCGUAGCUAACGCUUUAAGUACCCCGCCUGGGGAGUACGGCCGCAAGGCUAAAACUCAAAGGAAUUGACGGGGCCCCGCACAAGCGGCGGAGCAUGCGGAUUAAUUCGAUGCAACGCGUAGAACCUUACCUGGGUUUGACAUGAAUCGGGAGUGCUCAGAGAUGGGUGUGCCUCUUUUGGGGUCGGUUCACAGGUGGUGCAUGCCUGUCGUCAGCUCGUGUCGUGAGAUGUUGGGUUAAGUCCCGCAACGAGCGCAACCCUUGUUCACUGUUGCCAGCACGUUAUGGUGGGGACUCAGUGGAGACCGCCGGGGUCAACUCGGAGGAAGGUGGGGAUGACGUCAAGUCAUCAUGCCCCUUAUGUCCAGGGCUUCACGCAUGCUACAAUGGCUGGUACAGAGAGUGGCGAGCCUGUGAGGGUGAGCGAAUCUCGGAAAGCCGGUCUCAGUUCGGAUUGGGGUCUGCAACUCGACCUCAUGAAGUCGGAGUCGCUAGUAAUCGCAAAUCAGCAACGCUGCGGUGAAUACGUUCCCGGGGCU